UCCCGCUUAGCUCAGUGGUAGAGCGCGUCACUAGUAAUCACGUUGUUUGAUUAUGACGAGGUCAGUCGUUCAAGUCGGCUAGCGGGAA
Non-coding RNA from Psilocybe cubensis, 88 nucleotides. Lineage: Eukaryota; Fungi; Basidiomycota; Agaricomycetes; Agaricales; Agrocybaceae. The record is from the annotation of a RefSeq genome assembly.